UUACCGGCUUGACAUGAAUGAAAGUCCUCACGGCACAGGUGCUGCAUGGCUGUCGUCAGCUCGUGUCGUGAGAUGUUCGGUUAAGUCCGGCAACGAGCGCAACCCUGUCUUAGUUGCCAGCAUCUGGGACUCUAGGAGACUCCCGGUGUUAACCGGCGGAAGAUGGGGAUGACGUCAAGUCCUCAUGGCCCUUAUGUCGGGCUACACACGUACUACAAUGGGCUACAAGGGGCACCGCGAGGUAAGCAAUCCCAAAAGCGCCUCAGUUCGGAUUGCAGUCUGCAACUCGACUGCAUGAAGUCGGAAUCGCUAGUAAUCGCGAUCAGCAUGCGCGGUGAAUACGUUCCCGGGCCUUGUACACACCGCCCGUCACACCACGAAAGUUGUUGACCGAA
Molecule: ribosomal RNA, 395 nt
Filed under: uncultured bacterium
Lineage: Bacteria
Description: bacterial SSU rRNA
Rfam family: Bacterial small subunit ribosomal RNA
Source: RNAcentral